Molecule: transfer RNA, 72 nt
Filed under: Camelus bactrianus (Bactrian camel)
Lineage: Eukaryota; Metazoa; Chordata; Mammalia; Artiodactyla; Camelidae
Also listed under: 3 other names
Rfam family: tRNA
About the family: Transfer RNA (tRNA) molecules are approximately 80 nucleotides in length. Their secondary structure includes four short double-helical elements and three loops (D, anti-codon, and T loops).
Source: Rfam by way of RNAcentral
GUAGGUAUAGCUCAGUGGUAGAGCACAUGCUUAGCAUGCACAAGGUCCUGGGUUCAAUCCCCAGUACCUCCA